This is a non-coding RNA of Cinara cedri, 270 nucleotides long. The record is from the annotation of a GenBank genome assembly. Lineage: Eukaryota; Metazoa; Arthropoda; Insecta; Hemiptera; Aphididae.
UUUCGAUCAUUACGAAAAUCUAUUUUUAUGGCACAGGAUCGAAAACCGAUGUAAAGCGCCAUCUGUGAGAGCACCCGUGAACGCGGAUCGAUACACAAAACGUUCCGCUUGACUGCAGCACUGGAUAAACGUGAAUGAUAUUUCGUUAGCAGAGUGCGCCACACGAAGAUCCAUCGAAAAACGUAACGCAAACGUGUAACCAUCGAGUAUAGUAUAGUAUAGCGUCAAGUAUAUCUACCUAUUCAGUAUUAGUCAUUAAAACGUGUUAUA